RNAcentral lists this ribosomal RNA (486 nucleotides) under uncultured bacterium. RNAcentral's name for it is "partial 16S ribosomal RNA". It matches the Rfam family "Bacterial small subunit ribosomal RNA", at positions 28 to 523 of the family's 1533-position model. The record is from RNAcentral.
GAUGAACGCUGGCGGCGUGCUUAACACAUGCAAGUCGAACGGUGAACGAGGGAGCUUGCUCCCUCCGGAUCAGUGGCGAACGGGUGAGUAACACGUGAGCAAUCUGCCCUGGACUCUGGGAUAAGCGUUGGAAACGACGUCUAAUACCGGAUACGAGGCGUGGGGGCAUCCCCAACGCCUGGAAAGAACUUCGGUCCAGGAUGAGCUCGCGGCCUAUCAGCUAGUUGGUGAGGUAACGGCUCACCAAGGCGACGACGGGUAGCCGGCCUGAGAGGGUGACCGGCCACACUGGGACUGAGACACGGUCCAGACUCCUACGGGAGGCAGCAGUGGGGAAUAUUGCACAAUGGGCGCAAGCCUGAUGCAGCAACGCCGCGUGAGGGACGACGGCCUUCGGGUUGUAAACCUCUUUUAGCAGGGAAGAAGCGAAAGUGACGGUACCUGCAGAAAAAGCACCGGCUAACUACGUGCCAGCCGCCGCAGUAA